RNAcentral lists this ribosomal RNA (768 nucleotides) under uncultured bacterium. Its description in RNAcentral is "bacterial SSU rRNA". It matches the Rfam family "Bacterial small subunit ribosomal RNA", at positions 28 to 776 of the family's 1533-position model. The record is from RNAcentral.
AUUGAACGCUGGCGGCAGGCCUAACACAUGCAAGUCGAGCGGCAGCGACUUAACUGAACUUCGGGGAACGUUAAGGGCGGCGAGCGGCGGACGGGUGAGUAAUGCCUGGGAAUAUGCCCUGAUGUGGGGGAUAACUAUUGGAAACGAUAGCUAAUACCGCAUAAUCUCUUCGGAGCAAAGAGGGGGACCUUCGGGCCUCUCGCGUCAGGAUUAGCCCAGGUGGGAUUAGCUUGUUGGUGAGGUAAUGGCUCACCAAGGCAACGAUCCCUAGCUGGUCUGAGAGGAUGAUCAGCCACACUGGAACUGAGACACGGUCCAGACUCCUACGGGAGGCAGCAGUGGGGAAUAUUGCACAAUGGGGGAAACCCUGAUGCAGCCAUGCCGCGUGUGUGAAGAAGGCCUUCGGGUUGUAAAGCACUUUCAGUAGGGAGGAAGGUAGUGUAGUUAACACCUGCAUUAUUUGACGUUACCUACAGAAGAAGCACCGGCUAACUCCGUGCCAGCAGCCGCGGUAAUACGGAGGGUGCGAGCGUUAAUCGGAAUUACUGGGCGUAAAGCGCAUGCAGGCGGCCUGUUAAGUCAGAUGUGAAAGCCCGGGGCUUAACCUCGGAAUUGCAUUUGAAACUGGCAGGCUAGAGUCUUGUAGAGGGGGGUAGAAUUUCAGGUGUAGCGGUGAAAUGCGUAGAGAUCUGAAGGAAUACCAGUGGCGAAGGCGGCCCCCUGGACAAAGACUGACGCUCAGAUGCGAAAGCGUGGGGAGCAAACAGG